Molecule: ribosomal RNA, 463 nt
Filed under: uncultured bacterium
Lineage: Bacteria
Description: bacterial SSU rRNA
Rfam family: Bacterial small subunit ribosomal RNA
Source: RNAcentral
AGGUGCUGCACGGCUGUCGUCAGCUCGUGUCGUGAGAUGUUGGGUUAAGUCCCGCAACGAGCGCAACCCUCGUCCUUAGUUGCCAGCAGGUUAAGCUGGGCACUUUAAGGAGACUGCCUUCGCAAGGAGGAGGAAGGUGAGGACGACGUCAAGUCAUCAUGGCCCUUAUGGCUAGGGCUACACACGUGCUACAAUGGGGCGUACAGAGAGUUGCGAUACCGCGAGGUGGAGCCAAUCUCAUAAAGCGUCUCUCAGUUCGGAUUGAAGUCUGCAACUCGACUUCAUGAAGCUGGAAUCACUAGUAAUCGUAGAUCAGCAAUUCUACGGUGAAUACGUUCCCGGGUCUUGUACUCACCGCCCGUCACACCAUGGGAGUUGAUUUCACCCGAAAUUGGGAAGCUAACCUUCGGGAGGCUACCACUUACGGUGGAAUUAGCGACUGGGGUGAAGUCGUAACAACGUA